GACGAACGCUGGCGGCGUGCCUAAUACAUGCAAGUAGAACGCUGAAGGAGGAGCUUGCUUCUCUGGAUGAGUUGCGAACGGGUGAGUAACGCGUAGGUAACCUGCCUUGUAGCGGGGGAUAACUAUUGGAAACGAUAGCUAAUACCGCAUAAGAGUAGAUGUUGCAUGACAUUUACUUAAAAGUUGCAAUUGCAUCACUACCAGAUGGACCUGCGGUGUAUUAGCUAGUUGGUGAGGUAACGGCUCACCAAGGCAACGAUACAUAGCCGACCUGAGAGGGUGAGCGGCCACACUGGGACUGAGACACGGCACAGACUCCUACAGGAGGCAGCAGUAGGGAAUCGGCGGCAAUGGACGGAAGUCUGACCGAGCAACGCCGAGUGAGUGAAGAAGGUUGUCGGAUGGUAAAGCUCUGUUGUAAGAGAAGAACGAGUGUGAGAGUGGAAAGUUCACAGUGUGACGGUAUCUGACCAGAAAGGGACGGCUAACUACGUG
This 495-nucleotide ribosomal RNA is filed under the name uncultured bacterium. RNAcentral describes it as "partial 16S ribosomal RNA". It matches the Rfam family "Bacterial small subunit ribosomal RNA", at positions 28 to 507 of the family's 1533-position model. The record is from RNAcentral.